GUUCGAGCGUCAUUAUAACCACUCAAGUUUCGACUUGGUAUUGGGGUUCGCGGUUUCGCGGCCCUUAAAAUCAGUGGCGGUGCCGUCUGGCUCUAAGCGUAGUAAUUCUCUCGCUACAGGGUCCGGGUGGUUGCUUGCCAGAAUCCCCCCACUUUUUAUAGGUUGACCUCGGAUCAGGUAGGGAUACCCGCUGAACUUAA
RNAcentral lists this unclassified non-coding RNA (200 nucleotides) under soil metagenome. RNAcentral's name for it is "partial contains internal transcribed spacer 2 and large subunit ribosomal RNA". The record is from RNAcentral.